CCUACGGGGGGCAGCAGUGGGGAAUAUUGGACAAUGGGGGGAACCCUGAUCCAGCCAUGCCGCGUGUGUGAAGAAGGCCCUCGGGUUGUAAAGCACUUUCAGUGAGGAAGAACGCCUGGUGGUUAAUACCCAUCAGGAAAGACAUCACUCACAGAAGAAGCACCGGCUAACUCCGUGCCAGCAGCCGCGGUAAUACGGAGGGUGCGAGCGUUAAUCGGAAUUACUGGGCGUAAAGCGCGCGUAGGUGGCUUGAUAAGCCGGUUGUGAAAGCCCCGGGCUCAACCUGGGAACGGCAUCCGGAACUGUCAAGCUAGAGUGCAGGAGAGGAAGGUAGAAUUCCCGGUGUAGCGGUGAAAUGCGUAGAGAUCGGGAGGAAUACCAGUGGCGAAGGCGGCCUUCUGGACUGACACUGACACUGAGGUGCGAAAGCGUGGGUAGCAAACCGGAUUAGAUACCCGAGUAGUC
This 465-nucleotide ribosomal RNA is filed under the name Vreelandella stevensii. Its description in RNAcentral is "partial 16S ribosomal RNA". It matches the Rfam family "Bacterial small subunit ribosomal RNA", at positions 338 to 795 of the family's 1533-position model. The record is from RNAcentral. Lineage: Bacteria; Pseudomonadati; Pseudomonadota; Gammaproteobacteria; Oceanospirillales; Halomonadaceae.